UGCAUUGUAUUGUGAACACCAAUGAUUGUAUAUCAAGUGUUCAAACUCAAACAAUUUUCUGUGUAAUUCUGUUUGAAUAGAAGUCUCUUGCUUUAGUGCUUGAGCAUAGGAAGUCUCUUUCCUGUGUGCUUGAGCAAAGGAAGUCUCUUGCCUGUGUGCUUGAGCAAUUUGAAGUCUCAUACUAGGUGUAGUAUUGAGCAGUUGUAAUCAGUUGUGAUUAAACUU
RNAcentral lists this long non-coding RNA (225 nucleotides) under Medicago truncatula (barrel medic). RNAcentral's name for it is "long non-coding RNA (MTRU_LNC000389)". The record is from RNAcentral. Lineage: Eukaryota; Viridiplantae; Streptophyta; Magnoliopsida; Fabales; Fabaceae.